RNAcentral lists this non-coding RNA (749 nucleotides) under Tinaminyssus melloi. Lineage: Eukaryota; Metazoa; Arthropoda; Arachnida; Mesostigmata; Rhinonyssidae. The record is from RNAcentral.
UAGAAAGGUGGUUUUAUUUGUUUUAAAUCUUUUUUGGCAGAAAUAAUAUAUUGAGUAUUAAUAAGGUUAAUGUGUUAAUUAAUCACAUAGUUUUUAUGAUAUUAAAACACAAUCAGAAAAAAAUUUUUUAUAAAUCAUUAUGAUUUAAGCUUUGUGAUUAAAGAAUUCAAUCAAUUUUGUGCCAGCAGUUGCGGUUAAACAAAAGAAUUCAUUAAUAUUUUUGUAAUGUUAAAUUAUAUUCAUUCAAUAGGAUAUUAAUUUUUAAAUAAUGGUGGAAUAUAUUUAAAAAAGUAUAAAAAUAUUUUAAUUAAAAUUUAAGUUGAAACUAGGAUUAGAUACCCUAUUAUAUAAAUAUGAUAUCGUUAGUAGUAAUAAAUGAAAUCGAAUUAUGAUGGCGGCGUAUAAACAUAUUAGAGGAAUUUGUACAUUAAAGGAUAAUACGCCAAUAUCUUACUUGAAUUUAUGGUUUAUAUAUCGCUAUUUAUAUUUUGUAUUGAUACAAAAUAAAUAAUUCUUAUUAUAGAAGUAUUUUAAGUCAAGAUAUAGCUUAUAUUUAAGGUUGUUAUGAAUUAUAUUAAUUUUAAUUUAACUAUAGGUGUUUAGAAAGAAACAUUUAAAGAAAGAUUUAAUAGUAAUAUUAUUAAUUUAUAGUAUGAAUAUAUGCUCUUGUACGUGUACAAAUUGCCCGUCGCUUUCAUUAUAAGUGAAAUAAGUCGUAACAAAGUAAAGAUACCGGAAGGUGUUUUUAA